RNAcentral lists this long non-coding RNA (1558 nucleotides) under Homo sapiens (human). RNAcentral describes it as "non-protein coding lnc-CHD1-5:1". Lineage: Eukaryota; Metazoa; Chordata; Mammalia; Primates; Hominidae. The record is from RNAcentral.
ACCUUCAUCAAUCGUUUAUUGUUUUCAACUAACCACAAAGAUAUUGGAACACCAUACCUGCUAUUCGGCGCAUGGAUGGGGAUAGUUGGCACUGCUAUAAGCCUUCUAAUCCGAGCAGAACUAGGCCAACCAGGAACUCUGCUAGGAGAUGAUCAGAUCUAUAAUGUCAUUGUUACUGUCCACUCAUUCGUUAUAAUCUUUAUGGUGAUACCAAUCAUAAUUGAAGGUUUUGGCAACUGGCUAGUCCCUCUGAUAAUUGGUGCACCCGAUAUGGCAUUCCCCCGGAUAAAUAAUAUGAGCUUCUGACUUCUCUUCCCAUCUUUUCUACUCCUACUUGCGUCUUCAAUAGUAGAAGCUGGUGCUGGAACCCGCUGGACAGUUUAUCCCUCUUUAGCAGGAAACCCAUCACAUGCAGGAGCCUCUGUGGACCUGAUCAUCAUCUCGCUCCACUUGGCAGGUGUCUCUUCUAUUUUAAGGGCCAUUAACUUUAUUACGACAAUUAUUAACAUAAAACCCCCAGCUAUAUCCCAGUAUCAAACACCCCUUUUCGUUUGAUCAAUCCUCAUUACGGUAGUCCUUCUACUCCUUUCCCUCCCAGUCCUAGCUGCCGGCAUUUCUACACUAUUACUACACUACUAACUGACAGUAACCUCAACACUACUUUUUUUGACCCUGCUGGAGAGGGUGACCCUAUUUUGUACCAACAUUUAUUCUGAUUUUUUGGUCACCCUGAAGUCUAUGUACUUAUCCUACCAGGCUCCGGGAUAAUCUCCCACAUUGUAACAUAUUAUUCUGGAAAAAAGGAACAAUUUGGAUACAUGGGCUUAAUAUGAGCCAUGAUAUCAAUUGGCUUCUUAGGAUUUAUCGUAUGGGCUCACCAUAUAUUUACAGUAGGAAUAGACGUAGACACACAAGCAUACUUCACCUCUGCUACCAUAAUUAUUGCUAUCCCUACUGGCGUCAAGGUCUUUAGCUGAUUAGCUACCCUGCACGGCGGUAGCAUCAAAUGAUCUUCCGCAAUAUUCUGAGCCCUAGGAUUCAUUUUCCUUUCACAGUAGGAGGUUUAAGCGGCAUCGUAUUAGCUAAUUCAUCACUAGAUAUUGUCUUACACGACAUAUACUAUGUUGUAGCCCAUUUCCACUAUGUUCUAUCAAUAGGAGUGGUAUGCGCCAUUAUAGGAGGCUGUGUCCACUGAUUCCCCCUAUUUUCAGGUUAUACACUUAAUCAGACCUACGCGAAAAUCCACUUCACCAUUAUAUUCGUCGGUGUUAAUUUAACCUUUUUUUUUUGCAGCACUUCCUUUGCCUAUCCAGUAUGCCUCGAUGUUACUCUGAUUAUCCCGAUGCCUACACCACUUGAAAUAUUAUCUCAUCCAUAGGCCCAUUUAUCUCACUAACAGCAGUUAUGCUAAUAAUCUUUACGAUCUGAGAAGGCUUUGCUUCAAAAUGAAAAGUACUGACAAUUGAACAACCAUCUACUAAUUUAGAGUGGCUUUACGGCUGUCCACCACUUUACCAUACAUUCGAAGAGCCAGCCUAUGUGAAAACCUAAAUGAGAA